CUUGGAAAUGUUUUUUAGUACUACCCACAACUAUUUCCAAAAUGAAUAAGUUUGUUUUUAAAGAAGGAUAAAAAAAUAAUGACAAAUUGGAACCUUAUGGACUAUUAAAACUCUCUGGCAGAAAGAACUGUCAGCAUGAUUGAUAUCUAGAAAUUCUGUUUUCAAAGUCAUUAAAAAGCUGUGUUCCAGUCUUUGAGCUCUUGGGAGAAACCUCGCUAGAUUACUUCCUGUUGUCUAAUUUCUGAAAAUAUCCUCCCCAGAAGAGGCACAACAAUAGAAUCAUGUUAGAAAUCUAAAUACCAGGGUCUUUUUCUGUCCUGUCUGUUCUGCGUCCACUAGAAGAGUGUCUUUCCCAGGAUAUGUCUCUUCCCUGGCUGCUCUGCAUCUGGUCUCAGCCUGAGGUCCCCCAAGAACUCCUUGCCCUUUAAGACAAGCAGCUGAUGGAAAGAGAAUAUCCAGACCGUUGUGGACUUCACAGAAUUUGCACUCGUGAUCCAAGGCUGCUAAUGGCUGUGACCCAUGCCUAUGUCAAAGAUGACAGCUAUAGAGUCUGCGACAGGAGGACUUGCAACAAAG
Molecule: long non-coding RNA, 576 nt
Filed under: Chloebia gouldiae (Gouldian finch)
Lineage: Eukaryota; Metazoa; Chordata; Aves; Passeriformes; Passeridae
Description: Erythrura gouldiae (Gouldian finch) lncRNA (ENSEGOG00005008591.1)
Source: RNAcentral